This 1384-nucleotide ribosomal RNA is filed under the name Rhodococcus sp. (in: high G+C Gram-positive bacteria). Its description in RNAcentral is "bacterial SSU rRNA". It matches the Rfam family "Bacterial small subunit ribosomal RNA". Lineage: Bacteria; Bacillati; Actinomycetota; Actinomycetes; Mycobacteriales; Nocardiaceae. The record is from RNAcentral.
CCACCGGGUAAUACAACCCGGUGGUUUUUCCCCCCUCACUUUGGGGAAAACCCCUGGAAAACGUGGUUUAUAACCCGGAAUAGACCUCGGGGAUCACAUUCCCGGGGGUGAAAAUUUUUUCGGGGCCAGGAUGACCCCGCGCCUAUUCAGCUUGUUGGGGGGGUAAUGGCCCUCCCAAGGGGAAGGACGGGUAACCGGCCCUGAGAGGGCGACCGGCCCCCACUGGGACUGAGACACGGCCCCAGAUUCCUACGGGAGGCAGCAGUGGGGAAUAUUGCACAAUGGGCGCAAGCCUGAUGCAGCGACGCCGCGUGAGGGAUGACGGCCUUCGGGUUGUAAACCUCUUUCACCCAUGACGAAGCGCAAGUGACGGUAGUGGGAGAAGAAGCACCGGCCAACUACGUGCCAGCAGCCGCGGUAAUACGUAGGGUGCGAGCGUUGUCCGGAAUUACUGGGCGUAAAGAGCUCGUAGGCGGUUUGUCGCGUCGUCUGUGAAAUCCCGCAGCUCAACUGCGGGCUUGCAGGCGAUACGGGCAGACUCGAGUACUGCAGGGGAGACUGGAAUUCCUGGUGUAGCGGUGAAAUGCGCAGAUAUCAGGAGGAACACCGGUGGCGAAGGCGGGUCUCUGGGCAGUAACUGACGCUGAGGAGCGAAAGCGUGGGUAGCGAACAGGAUUAGAUACCCUGGUAGUCCACGCCGUAAACGGUGGGCGCUAGGUGUGGGUUUCCUUCCACGGGAUCCGUGCCGUAGCCAACGCAUUAAGCGCCCCGCCUGGGGAGUACGGCCGCAAGGCUAAAACUCAAAGGAAUUGACGGGGGCCCGCACAAGCGGCGGAGCAUGUGGAUUAAUUCGAUGCAACGCGAAGAACCUUACCUGGGUUUGACAUGUACCGGACGACUGCAGAGAUGUGGUUUCCCUUGUGGCCGGUAGACAGGUGGUGCAUGGCUGUCGUCAGCUCGUGUCGUGAGAUGUUGGGUUAAGUCCCGCAACGAGCGCAACCCUUGUCCUGUGUUGCCAGCACGUGAUGGUGGGGACUCGCAGGAGACUGCCGGGGUCAACUCGGAGGAAGGUGGGGACGACGUCAAGUCAUCAUGCCCCUUAUGUCCAGGGCUUCACACAUGCUACAAUGGUCGGUACAGAGGGCUGCGAUACCGUGAGGUGGAGCGAAUCCCUUAAAGCCGGUCUCAGUUCGGAUCGGGGUCUGCAACUCGACCCCGUGAAGUCGGAGUCGCUAGUAAUCGCAGAUCAGCAACGCUGCGGUGAAUACGUUCCCGGGCCUUGUACACACCGCCCGUCACGUCAUGAAAGUCGGUAACACCUGAAGCCGGUGCGCCUAACCCCUUGUGGGAGGGAGCCGUUGACAAAGGGAAGUGGCCUUUAGAA